GUGUGACAAGAACCAGGGAAGUGGGAGGGUGAAGGGAAAGCCCUCUAACACCCUAACUACAGGAGAAGCAGUUGAUGCAGGGAGAUUAAAUGAAAAAAGAGAAGGAACGGAUGAAGAGCAUCACAUUGACAUCUCUGCUUGUUUUAAAAAGAUUGAAUUAGUCCCUUACCUGUUUUUCAGAAGGCAUACCAAAGAGGGUGGUGCAGAAGGACAUUUAGAAGACAUGUGUCAAGGAAAGAAGAUAAUUAUAUUGUCCCAUCAACAUAUAAACCGAACGGUUCAACACAGUAUGUUCCUUUAUGCAGCUCUCAAACCCAACGGGGUGGGGAAGGCAUAUCAACAGAAAAGGUCCUCUGCUCAGAUUUUUUUCCUAACAAUCCAAGACUGGCAGUGAACAAAGACAAUUCUCUAAUACAUAACAACAAACCAGUGGGCACACUUUGUCGUAUUGCAGGAAGAGGGAGGCAUAGACGGUCUCAGUCAGCAGAGAAUAGAUUGCGAUCAUAAUGAGAAGCACUGCCAACUUCAGGACGGAGUUGAGACGAAGAAACACGGCACAGGUCACCAUUGCCAAAACACCGAAGGAAGUAAACUUUGGAUUGCCGUAAUAAAUACAAGGACAAUGAAUGCACACACCAAGUUUGAUUUGAACACUUCAUCCCUCAUUUGAGAAUACUGGAAUAAAAAAUAA
Molecule: long non-coding RNA, 691 nt
Organism: Dermochelys coriacea (leatherback sea turtle)
Lineage: Eukaryota; Metazoa; Chordata; Testudines; Dermochelyidae
Exons: 7
Source: RefSeq, a predicted model, not a curated record